This 254-nucleotide ribosomal RNA is filed under the name uncultured bacterium. RNAcentral's name for it is "partial 16S ribosomal RNA". It matches the Rfam family "Bacterial small subunit ribosomal RNA", at positions 524 to 776 of the family's 1533-position model. The record is from RNAcentral.
CACGUAGGGGGCAAGCGUUGUCCGGAUUUAUUGGGCGUAAAGAGCUCGUAGGUGGUUCGGUAAGUCGGGUGUUAAACCCCCAGGCUCAACCUGGGGACGCCACUCGAUACUGCUGUGACUAGAGUCCGGUAGGGGAGCGUGGAAUUCCUGGUGUAGCGGUGAAAUGCGCAGAUAUCAGGAGGAACACCGGUGGCGAAGGCGGGUCUCUGGGCCGAUAUCGACGCUGAGGAGCGAAAGCGUGGGGAGCGAACAGG